RNAcentral lists this transfer RNA (67 nucleotides) under Pharyngocirrus uchidai. Its description in RNAcentral is "tRNA-Gly". Lineage: Eukaryota; Metazoa; Annelida; Polychaeta; Saccocirridae. The record is from RNAcentral.
ACUCUUUCAGUAUACUAUGUACGCUUGCCUUCCAAGUAAGAGGAUUAAAUAAAAUUUAAAAAGAGUA